This 459-nucleotide ribosomal RNA is filed under the name uncultured bacterium. RNAcentral's name for it is "partial 16S ribosomal RNA". It matches the Rfam family "Bacterial small subunit ribosomal RNA", at positions 338 to 795 of the family's 1533-position model. The record is from RNAcentral.
CCUACGGGAGGCAGCAGUGAGGAAUAUUGGUCAAUGGGCGUAAGCCUGAACCAGCCAAGUCGCGUGAGGGAUGAAGGUUCUAUGGAUCGUAAACCUCUUUUAUAAGGGAAUAAAGUGCGGGACGUGUCCCGUUUUGUAUGUACCUUAUGAAUAAGGAUCGGCUAACUCCGUGCCAGCAGCCGCGGUAAUACGGAGGAUCCGAGCGUUAUCCGGAUUUAUUGGGUUUAAAGGGUGCGUAGGCGGCCUUUUAAGUCAGCGGUGAAAGUCUGUGGCUCAACCAUAGAAUUGCCGUUGAAACUGGGGAUCUAGAGUGUGCGAGAGGUAUGCGGAAUGCGGGGUGUAGCGGUGAAAGGCAUAGAUAUCACGCAGAACCCCGAUUGCGAAGGCAGCAUACCGGUGCACAACUGACGCUCAGGCACGAAAGCGUGGGUAUCGAACAGGAUUAGAUACCCUGGUAUC